UACAGAGGUCCCAAGCGUUGUUCGGAUUUACUGGGCGUAAAGGGUGCGUAGGAGGUUUGGAAAGUCAGAUGUGAAAGCUCACCGCUUAACGGUGAAACUGCAUUUGAAACUCCCAAACUCGAGGAUUAGAGAGGAAAGCGGAAUUCUUGGUGUAGCGGUGAAAUGCGUAGAUAUCAAGAGGAACGCCAAUGGCGAAAGCAGCUUUCUGGAAAAUUCCUGACUCUGAGGCACGAAGGCUAGGGUAGCAAAC
This 250-nucleotide ribosomal RNA is filed under the name uncultured bacterium. RNAcentral's name for it is "partial 16S ribosomal RNA". It matches the Rfam family "Bacterial small subunit ribosomal RNA", at positions 524 to 773 of the family's 1533-position model. The record is from RNAcentral.